CGAAGGGACAGCUGACUGAUAGAUGAGAUGAUGAUGGCACCGAUGGACGCAGAGGUUAGUGCAUGAGAUGAGAUAGUUGGGGAGGCGUCGCCGUCACACGCUGGAUCAUAUUCUCAAGCCAAGCCUGUCCCUUUUUGUUUAAAAAUCCCCCGUCCGUCGCAGCGUGCGCGCCCACAACCCCACGUCCCCGUCCCCGGCCACGGCCAUCCCCCACCCUAUCGCACGAAUUCGAACAGCGCCGCAGCGUCACGACGGCACAUGAUAGAGGCGCACACACACGGCCUCGUGUUUGUUUAGUUCACUCGCACAGCCCACCUCCCGGUUUCUUUAUAUCCGGCGGAUCGCCGGCCCCCGCUCGCUGCUUCCUCCUCCAUUUCCGAUCGGUCGAUUGCGGUUGACAGCUCCACCGUCUGCUAGCUUGUGCUUGUCAGAUCUUGUUGCAUGGACGGCGAGUGGAGCGACGGGGCGGUGUCCGGUGGCGAGCAGAAGGCCAGCGGGGACGGCGUUUCGGCGGACUGCAACAGCCCGGGGUCGCCUUCGCCACCGGCGGUGCCGUCGACUAGCGGGAGGAGGCGGUCGUUGCAGAAGCGAGUGGUGACCGUGCCUCUCGCCGAUUUGAACGUCCCGCGGCCCAAGGGCGUCGGAGAGGGCAACACGCCGACAGACUCGUGGGCGUGGCGGAAGUACGGCCAGAAGCCCAUCAAGGGCUCACCCUUCCCAAGGGCUUACUACAGGUGCAGUAGCUCCAAGGGGUGCCCGGCGAGGAAGCAGGUGGAGAGGAGCCAGGCCGACCCGGACACGGUGCUCAUCACCUACUCCUACGAGCACAACCACUCCAGCACGGUGGCGAGGGCGCAGAGCCGCCCGACCCCGACACCGAAACCCAACAAGGAGCGGCCGCUCCCGUCGCCCGAGCCAGCGAAAUCUGACGGCACGCACCAUGGAACCGCCAACGUUGCCGGCGGCCUAGUCACCGCGAGCCCGGCGCCGGCCAUCGAGGUGCACGACGAUUUCCGGUGGCUCUACGACGUCGUGUCCGUCACCUCGUCGACGUCGCCCUCCGAAGUCGAGGCGGCCGACGACAUGCUGCUGUACGGGCCCAUGUUCUUCGGCAAACCGGUGGUCGAGGUCGACACGGCCGCGCUCCUUCCCGGCGAGUUCGGCGGCGAGGCCGUCGGCGGGGAAGGGGGCGAAGAAGACGACGCAAUGUUCGCGGGGCUCGGCGAGCUGCCGGAGUGCGCCAUAGUGUUCCGGCGGCAUGCCCGCGACGGCCUGGCGGCAAUGGCGGGAGGGGUCAAGGUCGAGCAGCCGGCGGAGGGCACAGCCAUGACGUGAGCAUGUCAUGUCUGACGUGUGGGACAGGUCUCCAAUAAGAUCGAGCAGACAAAAUUGCAGUUUUAGUUUCAUGUUCUCUUGCGCUUUUGUUGGUUAAUUAGUUUUCUCACCUUCUCUUGGUGUACCUUCUUUUACUCAUACAUUAGCACAGAGAAGAAUCUGAGACAUUACCAUUGAACAUAUUGAUUGGACGAGAAAUCGAGAGGGCUACAAGCCCCUUUUGUCAAUGGUUUGGUUGAAUCAUUUGUCUUGUAG
Molecule: ribosomal RNA, 1590 nt
Filed under: Triticum aestivum (bread wheat)
Lineage: Eukaryota; Viridiplantae; Streptophyta; Magnoliopsida; Poales; Poaceae
Description: partial small subunit ribosomal RNA
Source: RNAcentral